GUGGCCGUAGUUCAGCGGUUAGAGCGCCAGGUUGUGAUCCUGGAAACGCCGGUUCGAUUCCGGUCGGUCACC
RNAcentral lists this transfer RNA (72 nucleotides) under marine sediment metagenome. Its description in RNAcentral is "tRNA-His". It matches the Rfam family "tRNA". From Rfam's summary of the family: Transfer RNA (tRNA) molecules are approximately 80 nucleotides in length. Their secondary structure includes four short double-helical elements and three loops (D, anti-codon, and T loops). The record is from RNAcentral.